Molecule: ribosomal RNA, 445 nt
Filed under: uncultured bacterium
Lineage: Bacteria
Description: partial 16S ribosomal RNA
Rfam family: Bacterial small subunit ribosomal RNA
Source: RNAcentral
GUGAGGAAUAUUGGUCAAUGGACGAGAGUCUGAACCAGCCAAGUCGCGUGAAGGAAGACGGUUCUAUGAAUUGUAAACUUCUUUUGUGUAGGAAUAAAGUGGGUUACGUGUAACCUUUUGUAUGUACUGUACGAAUAAGGAUCGGCUAACUCCGUGCCAGCAGCCGCGGUAAUACGGAGGAUCCGAGCGUUAUCCGGAUUUAUUGGGUUUAAAGGGUGCGUAGGUGGAUUGAUAAGUCAGCGGUGAAAGUUUGCAGCUUAACUGUAAAAUUGCCGUUGAAACUGUCGGUCUUGAGUGCAAAUGAGGUAGGCGGAAUGUGUUGUGUAGCGGUGAAAUGCUUAGAUAUAACACAGAACUCCGAUUGCGAAGGCAGCUUACUGGGAUGCAACUGACACUGAUGCACGAAAGCGUGGGUAUCAAACAGGAUUAGAAACCCUGGUAGUCC